UGGGGAAUAUUGGACAAUGGGCGCAAGCCUGAUCCAGCCAUGCCGCGUGAGUGAUGAAGGCCUUAGGGUUGUAAAGCUCUUUCACCGGUGAAGCGGUAACCGGAGAAGAAGCCCCGGCUAACUUCGUGCCAGCAGCCGCGGUAAUACGAAGGGGGCUAGCGUUGUUCGGAAUUACUGGGCGUAAAGCGCACGUAGGCGGAUUGGUCAGUUAGGGGUGAAAUCCCGGAGCUCAACUCCGGAACUGCCUUUAAUACUGCCAGUCUAGAGACCGAGAGAGGUAAGUGGAACUCCUAGUGUAGAGGUGGAAUUCGUAGAUAUUAGGAAGAACACCAGUGGCGAAGGCGGCUUACUGGCUCGGAACUGACGCUGAGGUGCGAAAGCGUGGGGAGCAAACAGGAUUAGAUA
RNAcentral lists this ribosomal RNA (405 nucleotides) under uncultured bacterium. RNAcentral describes it as "bacterial SSU rRNA". It matches the Rfam family "Bacterial small subunit ribosomal RNA", at positions 355 to 784 of the family's 1533-position model. The record is from RNAcentral.